ACUUAAAUUGAAGAGUUUGAUCAUGGCUCAGAUUGAACGCUGGCGGCAGGCCUAACACAUGCAAGUCGAGCGGCAGCGGGAAAGUAGCUUGCUACUUUUGCCGGCGAGCGGCGGACGGGUGAGUAAUGCCUGGGGAUCUGCCCAGUCGAGGGGGAUAACUACUGGAAACGGUAGCUAAUACCGCAUACGCCCUACGGGGGAAAGCAGGGGACCU
Molecule: ribosomal RNA, 214 nt
Filed under: Aeromonas veronii
Lineage: Bacteria; Pseudomonadati; Pseudomonadota; Gammaproteobacteria; Aeromonadales; Aeromonadaceae
Description: partial 16S ribosomal RNA
Rfam family: Bacterial small subunit ribosomal RNA
Source: RNAcentral